UUCUUCUCUCGGGUUCUUAACAACCUAUUCUUCUCUCAGCAAAAUCGGUAGAAAUCUUAGGGGUUUGUUUCAAUUGAUUGCGUUUGCGUUGUUUAUUUGGUAAUUUUUUGGUGACGAUUUGGCAGUGGGCGAGAUGGUGCUUGGCGGCAUAAUGAUUUGGUUGCUGUUGUGUUAUUGAUGGGGUUCUCGCUUGAAGUUGCUGGUGGCAACGGCUAUGGAGGUUGGAGGCCAACACCAGCAAAAAUGCAUAACAAGUGUUUGAUAGAAGUCCCAAAAGAAACAAAGAUGCCAAUUACUGCGAUGGAAAAAUUAGUGGUGAAGUUCGCAGCACACGAGUUACAGAUUCUAUUUCAGGGAUUCAAUUGUUGAACCAACUACCUUCGGCGAAAGAAUCCAUAGGAUGUUGAAGUUGGGUGUGAGCAUCGACGAAGAUAAUACUGACACAAGAGCUGACCUAGAGAUGCCCGAACUUGUUGAACAUGAUGCUAAGGGCAGCAAGAUGGAGGAGGUUGACGAAUCCCUUAAGCUUUGAGUUUCUGAUACGGACGCUCUCGACAUUCUCUUUAAUAUUAGCUUUAUUUUUACUUUCUUUUUAAUUUUCUUCCUUUUCUCUUUAGUUUCUGCCUUAGAAUUUUUUUUCUCCCUUUGAGUUUGUAGCCUUAGAAUUUUAGUAUUUUCUUUUAUUAAAAAAAUAGCAGGGGUCAAUUUUAGAAUGCCACGUGUCAAAGAAAUAGUGCCUUGUACACGGGCUGGAACAGAGUUAACUAGUAGCUGAAAUCGGCAAUUCAAUACA
Molecule: long non-coding RNA, 793 nt
Organism: Papaver somniferum (opium poppy)
Lineage: Eukaryota; Viridiplantae; Streptophyta; Magnoliopsida; Ranunculales; Papaveraceae
Exons: 3
Source: RefSeq, a predicted model, not a curated record